AGGCAGUUCUUAAAGCAUUCACAUCGGCAUGCCAAGCUCCGGCACCAAGCCAGGUGCUGAUCCCAAAAGGUGACUUCAAGCUUGGUGAGACCGUGAUGACUGGUCCAUGCAAAUCUCCAAUCGAGUUCACCUUGCAAGGCAACGUGAAAGCUGACGGUGGCUCUACCCAGGGAAAGGAUAGAUGGGUUGUGUUCGAAAAAAUUAAUGGUUUUAAGUUGAACGGAGGUGGAACAUUUGACGGUGAAGGCAAUGCAGCUUGGAAAGCCAACAACUGCCACAAGACUUUUGAGUGCAAGAAACUUCCCAUCGUAGGUGUUUCCGUCUUUAAUAUAUUAACACCAAUGGCUUUUUUUAAAGAUGAUAUAAUUCAGUGAUGCAUGCUAUCUUUCAGAGUGUAAGGUUUGAUUUUGUGGAUAACGCUGAGAUAAAAGACAUAACCUCAUUAGAUGCCAAAAACUUCCACUUCAACGUUAUCAGCGGCAAGAACAUGACCUUUGAUAACAUCAAGAUCAUCGCUCCAGCUGAAAGCCCCAACACUGACGGUAUCCAUUUGGGAAGAUGUGAGGGAGUCAAGAUCCUCAACACUAAGAUCGCCACAGGAGAUGACUGCAUCUCCGUGGGAGAUGGGAUGAAGAAUCUCCUCAUUGAGAAAGUUGUGUGCGGUCCAGGACACGGAAUCAGUGUUGGAAGCCUUGGAAGGUACGGAUGGGAGCAAGAUGUCACUGACAUUAACGUUAAGAACUGUACCCUUGAGGGAACCGACAACGGUCUGAGGAUCAAGACAUGGCCAUCUGCCGCUUGCACCACCACCGCUGCCGGUAUUCAUUUUGAGGAUAUCAUCCUUAACAAAGUUAGCAACCCAAUCCUCAUCGACCAGGAGUACUGCCCUUGGAACCAAUGCAACAAGAACGUAAGUAUCUUUUAUUAGAUUCUAUGUCUUGCCACUAUCACCGUAUUCUAUGAAAUUGGAUGGCUCAGCAAACAUAUUAUUCUGAUGGUUUUCUAGAUAUUUAGCAUUCACCAUUUUGGUUGAGGUUACAUAUAUAUGAUUAUGAUCCCAAAGUUUUUUUUUCUAUUUGCAGAAACCAUCAACAAUUAAGCUGGUGGACAUUACCUUCAGGAAUAUUAGAGGAACAUCAGGGAACAAGGACGCAGUAAAACUAUUGUGCAGCAAGGGACAUCCAUGUGAGAACGUUGAGAUUGGAGACAUUAACAUUGAGUACACAGGACCUGACGGUCCACCCACUUUCGAGUGCACAAACGUCACACCUAAGCUUGUGGGAACCCAGAACCCAAAGGCUUGCGUUGGACCUGUGGUCAAGGCUCCUGGCAAAGAGUAAAAUGUUGAAGCUCAUAUCAACACACUAGGGCUUCCACAUCCAAUUUUGUUUAUUCUUUUUCUAAUCCUUUUUCAAGUCACGUAAGGGAGACUUUUACAAAGCUGUAACAAAAAAAUGUUUCUAUCCGAUGCCAACACAUAUAUAGAUGUGUGAGUGCAUAAUGAUGUAAUUAAUAAAACUAAAUUAUAUAUUCUGCGUAUGAUUGUUUCUUUUUAAAAUAUUAAUAUGCGCGGUAAGUUGUAUACACUUCAAUCUUAAUUUUGUUUUCUUUUCCGAAUCUUAAAAUUAUUUAACAAGAUCUGAUUUCAACCUUAAGAUUAAUUUAACUAAUACAGUAUUAGUUUUUUUUUUUUUAGAACUCAUUUUAAACUAGAACUCAAAUCAUUUCAAUAAUAGUUCACUAACAUGUAGUAUUCUUUCCAAGUUAUACUGAACUAGAACUCAAAGAUACACUUGUUCAUACAUAACCGAUGCAAGCAUUUGGACAACGAAACAUGACAUCGUCAUAAGUAAUCUGAUUGGAAAUGUAAUUUUCAAUCAAACUUUCGCUCUUUGCUUAUGAUCUCUUUGGAAAAAAUUUCACUUGAUAAUAUGAGGUGCAUACUCUUCCUCUCUACUUUGGUUCAAUGCUCCUUAAACAUGUUGGAUACUUUUUUAGGCUUCAAUAUAAAAAAGAAGUUAGGAAAAAUUUAUUGAUAUUGUUAGUAAUAUUACUUCUAUGAUAUUGGUACUUCAAAAGAAGCAUGAGUUAUUAUAGAAACUAGGUUAAGAUCUCUGUUUUGCGCAUGAUGAAUUUUAUGUAUACAAAUGAUAUUUUUCUAUUUUUAUUAUUUAUUUUGUGUUUAUUUAUUUCAUAUUUAUAUAAUUAAAUUAGAGUAAACACAUAAAUCAAAACUAUACCUCCUUUUAUUUCUAAUUUUUUUCAUAAAUAAAUCAAUCGUUUUAUUUAUUUUAUAUGAAAUAUAAUUAAUUUGAAUGAUAAUGACAUAGAUAUCUAGUAAAAUUUAAUAUAACUUAUUAAUUGAGAUUUCCUACUCAUAUAAUCUUAUUAACAUUUGUAUAUAUUGCUGUAAAAAAAAUUAAACCAUUAAUUACAAAACUUUCAAUGUGAGAUUUAUUUCAAUACAAAAUUUUAAAUUGAAAUAUUAAGGUCUCAAUACUUUUAAAAUGUAAAUUUCAAAAUUAACGUAUUUAUGUAUUUUUAUAUGGUAUAUAGUUUAAUUUAAACGAUAUUAAGAUAUAUAUAUAUAUAUAUAUUUAAUAUGAAUAUCUAUUAAAUGAGACUUUAUAUUCAUACAAUUUUAUGAUCAUUUUGUAUCUUGUUAUAACAAAAAAAAGUAGUUAAACCAUUGAUUACAAAAUUUCAAUAUGGGCUUUUAACAUUUUUUAGUAAUUUAUAGUUUUUUAAAAUUCAUAAUAUAACAUAUAAGAAAGAGUCUAUAUUUUAAGUAUAUGGUUAAUGUGAUUGUAUAAUUUCUUUUAAUAAUAUAAAAUUAAAUAAAAUAGAUGGAGGUUACAAAAAUUGUUAUCAAAUCUUUAUUAUUCAUAAUCAUUAGUUUUCGUAUAUAUGUUAAUCAUAUUAGGUAAUUUCGUAACUUUUAUUUAGAGAAAUAAUGAAAAUAUUCUUUUGAACAUACAUUACUAAUCAAUUUGAUAGUUAGUUUAAUAAUAAGAUAUAAUAUAUGUUUCGAUAGACCAUCUAUUUUUUUAAGGAUCCUAAGCAUCAUUGUUGUAUUAAUACGUGGAUACAAAAAAAUGUUGCAAUGCUUUUCAAAUAUAUAAAUGAUUAUGUGGUUGAAAGAAAUUAGAAAAAUGCAAUGCAGUUAAGUAAUGAGGAACGAUUGAUUUUUGUUAUUAAAAGACGGAAGUCACGAACCACAUUAAUUAAAGUCAUCGAUUACUGACUGAUGACAACAUAUUUGACAAACAAUAAUAGAAGUUACAUAUAUUAACGCAUAAAGUUACAAAAUACAUAUACAUAUUUGACAAACAAUAAUAGAAGCGACGAAAUACAAACAAACACCUAAAACAAUUAAUUUUCAAAUACAGUCCAGGUUCUCCGAAAGUCGUUUGCUUUGAAAUGCUCUUUUUUAACUUAGUCAUAAACAUCUUCAUCUUUAUAACAUUAAUUAUUUCUUUUAUGAACUGGUUUGCCUUUUUUUCUUCAUGAUAUUGGGUUCAAUAGUUCCAACUUUUGCCUUUUGAAUUGUGUAAAUCUAUUUCACUAUUUGUUGACCAUUUGCAAUUCUUGCUUUUCUUUCAUCAUAUCAUUUUUUGUUGUAUACAUUUCCCUUGAAUGAUGACUAACUUAUACAAAAUUGGAAUCACUUGCAUCAUUUUCGUGGAUUCUUUUAAACCCACUUCUGCCUGACUACAAGAACAUAUUUAAUCACAGAUGAUGACGAGCCCCAUUCCAACAUGUUGAAAUGUAUAGUCUUGGCACUUGAACAUAGCUCAUGCGUUUUUUUUGUCAAUAUAUCAUUAUUCUCUGAUCAUCCAUUUUGUUACAUAGACUUUGCUAUUGUCAGUGCCAACCAUUAUUCCGAUAGUUUUUUCAUGUGGUGUAGUAAUUUUUCUAAACGAAGCAAUUACUGUUCUCUAACAAUUUUGAAAACCAACCAAUGCUAACGUCCAUAUAUAUUUUCCGCAGCCUGCACAACAGGAUUAUCAGAACGUAAAUCUCCUGAAUUUCUUUAAGUUCUAGUACCUUAUAAAAUUCUACUAACAAUUUGAUAUCUUUUUAGAUGGUGUAAAUGUAAUAACAUAAGUUGGCUAGAAACUAACCUCCCAAAAAUAGAGGUAUCAUGCAAAUGCUAUAAACACGAGUGGAACAAGUCUUAUGCCUAACAAUUGAACGCUAAUUUCCCAAAAUUAAAGUAACCUAGCUAAUACUUCCUUAAAAAUGGGUCAAACAUUCUAAAAAAUGAGAAGUUGGGAGAAAGUAUGGGCCUUCAACAUAUCUCUCCAUUUAACGCACUAUAUAAAGCAGCAGGUGCGUAGUAAAAAUCUCAGAAAACAAAAAUUAAAAGACAAUAAAAAAUAAAAAUAAAUAAAUAAAUAUGGGUUCAUAUUUGGGAAUCUAUACAAUUUUGGUUCUAUGUUUGCUAGGAUAUUCAGCCAAUGCUGAGGUGUUCACCGCUGGUGGUCCUCCAAAUUCUGAUAUUACCGCGGUUAGUAUCUUCACUUGUUUUUUAUUACUUGAAUUCCAAUCAAUGUGUAAACCAUUUCUUAUAUUAACAUACUCGUGGGAGCUAUUGUUGCAGGCAGUUCUUAAAGCAUUCACAUCGGCAUGUCAAGCUCCGGCACCAAGCCAGGUGCUGAUCCCAAAAGGUGACUUCAAGCUUGGUGAGACCGUGAUGACUGGUCCAUGCAAAUCUCCAAUCGAGUUCACCUUGCAAGGCAACGUGAAAGCUGACGGUGGCUCUACCCAGGGAAAGGAUAGAUGGGUUGUGUUCGAAAAAAUUAAUGGUUUUAAGUUGAACGGAGGUGGAACAUUUGACGGUGAAGGCAAUGCAGCUUGGAAAGCCAAUAACUGCCACAAGACUUUUGAGUGCAAGAAACUUCCCAUCGUAUGUGUUUAUGUCUUUAAUAUAUUAACACCAAUGGCUUUUUUAAAGAUGAUAUAAUUCAGUGAUGCAUGCUAUCUUUCAGAGCAACUGCCACAAGACUUUUGAGUGCAAGAAACUUCCCAUCGUAGGUGUUUCCGUCUUUAAUAUAUUAACACCAAUGGCUUUUUUUAAAGAUGAUAUAAUUCAGUGAUGCAUGCUAUCUUUCAGAGUGUAAGGUUUGAUUUUGUGGAUAACGCUGAGAUAAAAGACAUAACCUCAUUAGAUGCCAAAAACUUCCACUUCAACGUUAUCAGCGGCAAGAACAUGACCUUUGAUAACAUCAAGAUCAUCGCUCCAGCUGAAAGCCCCAACACUGACGGUAUCCAUUUGGGAAGAUGUGAGGGAGUCAAGAUCCUCAACACUAAGAUCGCCACAGGAGAUGACUGCAUCUCCGUGGGAGAUGGGAUGAAGAAUCUCCUCAUUGAGAAAGUUGUGUGCGGUCCAGGACACGGAAUCAGUGUUGGAAGCCUUGGAAGGUACGGAUGGGAGCAAGAUGUCACUGACAUUAACGUUAAGAACUGUACCCUUGAGGGAACCGACAACGGUCUGAGGAUCAAGACAUGGCCAUCUGCCGCUUGCACCACCACCGCUGCCGGUAUUCAUUUUGAGGAUAUCAUCCUUAACAAAGUUAGCAACCCAAUCCUCAUCGACCAGGAGUACUGCCCUUGGAACCAAUGCAACAAGAACGUAAGUAUCUUUUAUUAGAUUCUAUGUCUUGCCACUAUCACCGUAUUCUAUGAAAUUGGAUGGCUCAGCAAAC
RNAcentral lists this long non-coding RNA (5708 nucleotides) under Brassica napus (rape). Its description in RNAcentral is "long non-coding RNA (BNAP_LNC000971)". The record is from RNAcentral. Lineage: Eukaryota; Viridiplantae; Streptophyta; Magnoliopsida; Brassicales; Brassicaceae.